Otolemur garnettii (small-eared galago) is the source of this 104-nucleotide small nucleolar RNA. The record is from Ensembl. Lineage: Eukaryota; Metazoa; Chordata; Mammalia; Primates; Galagidae.
AUCCUUUUGUAGUUGAUAAGAGUGAUGAUUGGGUUUUCAUGAGCAGGUGUGAGAUGUGCCUCCCACAACUCUUGUUACGAUGUCGGCACAUUACCCAUCUGACA